GGCAUAGCUCAACUGGCAGAGCGUUGGUCUCCAAAACCAAAGGUUGGGGGUUCGAUUCCCUCUGCCC
Molecule: transfer RNA, 67 nt
Filed under: Lautropia mirabilis
Lineage: Bacteria; Pseudomonadati; Pseudomonadota; Betaproteobacteria; Burkholderiales; Burkholderiaceae
Also listed under: 1 other name
Rfam family: tRNA
About the family: Transfer RNA (tRNA) molecules are approximately 80 nucleotides in length.
Source: RNAcentral